GUGCUUUUGUGGGAUAAUUCUUUGCUCUUUCCCAAUCUGUUGGCGUUAAACCUAAAAUUGCACUAUGAUGAACUUUUUUUUUUUAAUCAAUAUGAUAAUGACAAUUGGGUCUGAAAGCUCUGGUAGGAGUAGAGCGGGAUCUGGCCCCCAUUGCCAAAAUAACUUCUCGUUCUGAGAUAGUUGGACUCCUUUUGUGUGGCUUUAAUACCUUUUCUUCCCUGACAUCGAAUAUUGCUCAAGCUGGAAAAUGAUGCAUCUUUGUAGGGGAGGCUCGUAUGUCACAGCCAGAAAGUGAAGCAGACCGAUUGGUUGUGUGAAUUAUCUGACUUGCUGCAGUGAAUUAUUUGCACUGUUUCCCUACCUAGUCAACAAGUUCCUGAGGUAUAGUAGAGAUCAAUCAAAACUGACAGCCUGUGUGUGAAGGCUUUACUGUGUAAAUCUGGCGCACUCAUCCUGGCCAUGCCGGCCCUGGCAUCUGUAUAUCAUUUUUAUACUGCUACCAGUAGAGCAAUUUCAAAAGUAUUUGCAAGGAAAAUGCGUGUCCCCAUCUGUUCCUGGAAGCAUAAAUGUGCCACCUUCAGAGGGUUUUCACUGGUAAUCAUAUCUUUAAUGAUCAACAGACUAGUGAUAUAUACCUUUCCAUAAAAUGGGAUUUUCUUCACUUUAUUGUGAUUGGCUAGAAUAAAUAGCUUUUCCAUAUGUUAGGGAGAUAAAAUAUAAGAUUAGCAGAGGUCGUUUGUUGGAUAGUAAACAAAAGAAACAAUUCAUUCCAAAUAAUCUUUGAAAAGAAGCAACGACAAAAUUAAGUUGCAAUCACAGAGUAUCUGAGGCCCCAACAUUAGAAAACAGACCUCGUUCCUCCUUGGAAAAAGAGCCGUUUAAGAGCAGAAACUCAAUAAUCUUCUAGGGGACUCUGGUGACUUAUUCUUCGAGUCAGAGGGAGAGGGCCAGGGUAGGGAAGGAGAGGCUGGAAUAAUACUGUUUGUUCAGCUUCUGUUGUAGGAUUGUGUUUCCUUUCGCUCAUCUUAGGUGCUAUUUGGCCACCUCCACUGCAGCACCCUGGGUAAAUUGGUAGGUGGUAUGUUCAGAAAGCAGGAAAAUGCCACUCUGCUGAAUUUCUCUUCAGGCCUUUCAAGAAGAUGGGGAUUGUUCACAUACUUUAAAAUAAAAGUUAACUUCCCCUAGCUAGAGAUUUCUCUUCUCCCAUAGAAAAACAAGAUGUCGGAGGGUGGGGCAAAGUUCCCAGCUUUACAUGAAAUUCCAAAACCUAGGGAAAGGGGCCUUAAGAGGUAGCCAAAACUUGCGGGAGAAACCCCAGGAAAUGUUCUUAGUCAUCGAAUCUCACCUGCAUAGGUUACGGUCUGCAGAUACAAUCAGUCCCUGACCACUAUCCCCCCUCCUCCCACAAACCCACGCUCAGCACCAGGAUCCCUUCUGCUCAGAUGGAGCAACUUUCAGUUUUUCUGUUUGUUUGUUUUUUUCUGUUUUUUUUUUUUUUGAAGCGCUGUCUUGCUCUGUGGCCCAGGCUGGAGUGCUGUGGCAGGGUAUCGGCUCACUGCAACCUCCAUAUCCCAGGUUCAUGGGAUUCUCAUGCCUCAGCCUCCUGAGCAGCUGGGAUUACAGUUGCCUACCUCGACACCCAGCAAAUUUUUGUAUUUUUAGUAGAGACUGGGUUUCACUAUGUUGGACAGGCUGGUCUUGAACUCCUGACCUCAAGCGAUCUGCCCACCUCAGCCUCCCAAUGUGCUGGAAUUAACAGAUGUGAGCCAUCAUGCCCGGCCUGCUGAACCAUCCUGGUGAAAUUUGAAAGCUUCUCCUUCAAGAUUCAGGACCCAGAGGUUUGGAGGCAGUGACUGCUUGCUUAGGAGACUACAGUUCUAUUUUGUUUCCAGGGUCAGGACAGAACUUCCCAUUCCAUAAAGGACUGAUAUUAAUUGCAGGUCACCAGAAUCUGAAUGAUGCCCUGAGCCUUUGUGCUCUCUGGAAAAUAGGUGUGAGCUUUGUGGACCUGCUCCCUAGUGUCAGGACUUGAGAAGGAAUUGGGGGAAGCUCUCUCUAAACAUUGGGAACAGACCCUGUGUGUAGGUUGCAGUUCCUCUGAUUCUACAUUCUUUCCUAUUGUCUCUUGUUAUGCAUAUGUUAUGUAUUGACGAUCUCCCACCCCUCAUCCCCGCUACCCCAACCGUUGUUCCACAGAAUUCUUUGCUCUCGCUGCAGUGGAGUGUGUAGCAGAAGCGUGUUAGUUUCAAUGUGGGAAAUGUGGUCUGUAGGCAGGUCCCAAGGAGAAAGUUUCCAUUAGCAUCUCAGGCCAAAUUUGUGUUUAUUUCCUGGCCCUAGAGAGACUUGGGAAAAACUUCUAGGACAGCGGAAAAACAGCUCACCCAAAGCUCAAGGUGAGAAAAAAAAAAAGGGUAACUAAGGGAAGGUUUUUUUCUUCUUAAUUUUAGAAACAGAAUCUUCUGUUGUUGUUGUUGAGACUGAAUUUUCCUCUUGUUGCCCAGGCUGGAGUGCAGUGGUGCGAGCUUGGCUCAUCACAACCUCUGUCCCCCAGGUUCAAGCAAUUCUCCUGCCUCAGCCUCCCAAGUAGCUGGGAUUACAGGCAUGCACCACCAUACUCGGUUAAUUUUGUAUUUUUAGUAGAGACAGGGUUUCACCAUUUUGACCAGGCAGGUCUCAAACUCCUGACCUCAGGUGAUCCACCUGCCUUGGCCUCCCAAAGUUCUGGGAUUACAGGCAUGAGACACACCUUGCCAGGCCCAGAAACAAAAUCUUUAUAGGCUAGGUUGCACAUAGGCAGGUAUGGACAUUUAAGGCGAGAUUUACAAGUAAAUCACACUUGAAACCACAUUUCCUAAAAUAUGCAAUUAGACUAAAAGAAAGUCACAUUUGUGUUUUCCACGUUGUGAUGUGAUACACUGCAGGUCUUCAGUGAAUUCGCUUGCCACAAGGAAAUUCUGGCAUGUGUUGUAGGUGAAAUGUGAUGUGUACUCAAUUUUUAAAAUUGAGUUUAUAUGUCUUUAAAUUUGAUACACACAUUUUGUAUUGAAUUUCUAUGUUAAUUGUUUUCAUAACAUGAAAGGAAGUAAAAACCUCACCAAUUGGUUUGGUGUAGGAGAGGUAAAUCUGUGACAUUUGCUUCUUCCUUUGUCCAGGAGGAUGGGGCUCUCUCUACUACAGUUGGGACAGUUUCAUACUCCAGGCUCUUUUGCUAUGCCAGAGGGUACUGUCUAAUCCACAAGCCUCUGCCAGGAAUGUUGCCGUCCACACUGGAAUGGAAGACACCUGCGGAGCUCCUCUAUGGGGCUCAAGUUGGCUGAGGUUCUGAACCACAGAAUUGCAGGCAACCAAGGAAACGCCCCAGGCACCCAGGUUUUUCUAAAUCUUAGAUCAGAGCCAUUUGCAGCACAGAGUUGUGUGCUGUUUCAAAACCACAAACCCUGUACAUAUGUCCCUCCAUUGCAGAGGUGGAAGCCUUGGCAAAUGUAGGAUGAGGAUUGAAAAUUAAAAAACAAACACGCCAUGUUCAAGAUGAAAAUUACAUACAUUGACAAUACUGUCUCUUUUCCACCACAGUCUCACUGCCACCAAGCAGCCUCAGUCUGUGCUUAUUUCACUGAAAAUGUACUUAAUCCCAGAAAAGCUAUCUGUAUGCAAGAACAUAAUUUGUUAAUCAUUUUUAUGAAAACAAAACCCUUCUCACCUUAGAAAAAAAUAUUUAACUUAAGAUAGUUGACUAAAAUGCUAAUUUGCAAUACUGCCUCAUGAUUGUAAUAUGCAUACAUAUGUAAUAGUGUUUGUUUUUUAGGUGUCCCUUAACAAGACAGGGAUGAGCAAACUAUAUGAUGUGUGCUGGAAAGAAAUUCAGUUUUAAAUGAUCUUAAGGUUAAGAAAAAUGAACUCAAUUGAUAGUUAAGGUGAAAUGAACUUGUAAAAUUUGGUAUCAAUUACAACUCUUAUCAAUAAAACGCCACCUAGAUCUUAAUACCAAGGUGUUCAGUUAUUAGAAAAUUUAAAAUUAGGGGUUUGAAGAUUUUGUUGUUGUUGUUGUUCUCACUAAACAGCACAGAAGUAAUAGUUUGGGUCACUUCAGGCUUCUACUGGGGGAUUUUCCUCUUGUCCCAGAAGGAAGUAGCAGGAAAAUAACUUGUAUAGUUAACAGCCUCAGUCUAAAGGGUAUUAUUUCCAGGCAGAAUUUCUAGUUACCCUUGUCUAGGAACACUGUUAAGGGAUAUGUUUUCAUUUUAGGUCAGAACAACUGGGUUAAGCAUUAUAUAAGAUCUGGAGAAAAUACUGAGUUUUCCUUGUGAGGGAAGGUGGAGGAGGAAGGAGCCAAAAUUAGUUUACUGCUUGGCCAAAGGACUACUUCAGGCACCAGUGAGGAAGGGUAAUUUAGAUUUCUAGAGGGCACCCUGCCGGCCCAUUUCCUAACAGUGAGGGGGCCUGGGGUGAAGGGGGGGCUUGCGGGUAGUUGGUAUCAAAUCCCUGUCCUUCCCACUUGCGCUCAGUCAGCUUUUGCCCGAAGACGAGUAUCUUCUUCCUGGACUGCCUUCUCCCACUCCCACCCAGACACCAAGGGGACGCGACAGCGGUUUUGGGACGCUGUUUGGCCAUGUGAGUGGGCGUUCAGGAUCCCGGCCUGGGUGCCAUCCACCCCGCCACGCCGGGUUUGGGGGCGAAAGCGGAACAAGUCGGUGGGCUGGCUGGGCCGCGACUUCCGUAGCACCGGGCCGCAGACAUUGCCCGUGCCGGGAUGGCAGCCAGCCCUGCGCGAGGGAGGCGAGUUCCCCCUGCAGCCGAGGACCCCGGAAGAUGGUCUCGCUGGAAGACGCGCCCUGCCGGGCCUGGGCUUCUAAUGUGAGGAAAAACACGGAAUGACAAGUGUGGGAAAGAGCAAGCACUAAAUUACUGUCAGAAAAAUAAACGGAGUAGCACAGUGGUGCUCAGUGAUUUACGGGGGCAAUUAGUCACCACCCCACGGCGCUGCUGAGGACAGCACGGCAGCAGACGAGUCAGGUCCACGAGGAAGAAGAGGCUUUGCACUGCUCUCCAGACAACUUUUCGAAGAACAAGAGAGGAUAUUUGAGCACAUUAGGUUGCCUGUCUUCAUUCUGGGUGCCUACUCUUCACAUUAUUCCACCAACUUAAUACAUAAAUGAAUUUUUAGUAUAAUAUGAACCUGUUCUGUGUGUGUUUAAAAGCCUCCAAUGGCAACUUUUUUCUCUCCCAACUGUCCAAAGUGGGGUUUUCCCCAUCCCUUAAAAAACAAAACAAAAAAAACAUUUCUUCACUCCCAAAUUGUCCCCCUGGUGUGUGCCUUUGCUCUGUCUUGUUACGUAUUGCAUCUUGCUACAUGUUCUGCAUUUGCUCAGAGCAACUGGGUGCUAAGGAAUUUGGUCUGCUGCUCCUCUGGGAAAGUUUGGUGAGCUGGUAUAAGGAGGUGAUGAACAAGGCUGUAAACUACAGGAUGAAUGAAAAUGAUACAUAAGCUUCCUAAUAUUUGUGAACAUGUUCUUUAACAUACCAUACGUAGUUUCUAUGUAUAUGUAGCAUAGCAAAAGAAACUUGUUAAGGUAUAAUUAAGUGGUAUGCAUGCCUUUGUAAAUAUCAACCAUCAGAAGAAACCCAGAAUGAAAGGUUGUGAAAGAUCCCAGGAAUGAUAAAGACUUUAUUGACUAAAGGCCAUGAAGCUUCAUCAGGAGUUUAGUUAUCCUCACAUAGCAUUACCUAAGAAUGCUGUCAUAGUAAAUUUCUGAAGCACUUUACCUAAGAAUGCUGUCAUAGUAAAUUUCUGAAGCACUUUAUCUGUUACAAAGAACGUUUGUAAUUUCCCUUUCUUAUUUGAUCUUACCCUGGCUUUAGUCAGGAACACCUGCUCAGUUAGAAAUGUAUUCAGUGAGUAUGUAUGCAAUUGGAGAAUGUGCCCCGACACAUGCCGCCUUUGGCCUGUAUGCUGGAGUCCUAAAGAGGCAGACCAUGUUGAUGAGCUUGGUGCCAGCAUGGUGCACCAUUCAUCCUGACACAUAAUUUCUGAUAAAGAGGGUCAUGACUGGGAAAAACCUCAGAUUCUACUUGCUUCUCUUCUCCACGUUAUUAGACAUUUUCCCCCUCUUGAAUUUUAUAAGCACACUCCUUUUAAAACAAUUAAUAAUGAGUGCUGGCAUUUGAUGUAGAAUUGCGUAUUUGUAACUGCAAUGGCACUGGUUUUCAAUACCCUGAAACAAGGAAAGCAAUCCUAACCAGCAAGAGAAGCAGACUUGUUUCUGUGCAACAUCACAGGCAUGGGAAAUUAUUCAGAUAUGGAGAUAUCAGGAGUUACGUAAAUUGGAAAUGUAACCAAAAAUCUUUUCCAUCAGUGAACAAAGCCUAUUUUAAAGUGCAUGUUGCAUUUUCAGAUCUUUCUCUUGCUUUUUCCCAAAGUCACAGUAUAGUUUCUGAGGAGGGACACACUGGGAAAACUAAGCACAUAUUUAAACAAUGAAAUUUAAGGUGUAAAAAUUCUGCAUUUGUGACAAAUUUGAUGUUCACUCUUUCCUUGAUUUAAAUAGAGCAUUCUAAAAAUAUUACCCCUAUAGGGGACACAUUUUUAUAUGCAUGUUAUUUUUGUUUACAAAGUAUGGGCUAGUAGAGAGUGAAAAUGACCUUGGCUAUUGUACUUACUUAUUGAUAGAAAUAAUAGCAUCUUCAUGUCUGGAUUCAAAUCUCUACUUAUCACACGACAUCCAUACGUUUCAAAGAGAAGACCUAGACUGAAUGAUAACAGGAGUCUGGGGCUUCCUACAUUCCCCUGUGUUUGUGUUCAUACAGAAUAUGCAAUAUUCUGACUUGGUCAUAAUCUAUAAUUCCUGGCUGUUAUUCUCAGUUGCAACUAUAAAUUCUAGAUUAAUGGUUAUAAUUUUGAUAAGGCAUAAAUGAAAAGUUAUAUGUUCAUGCUUGAAAGGAAGAUCAUUAAAUAUUCAUUAUUACCACUCAAAUUAGUUGUCAUGCUCUAUAUAAUAGUUACCCAUGAUCAUUUCACUAGUUUGGAUUCAGCAAUAAGUGAACAGCAAUAUAUAGCUCAUAGCACCAGAGGACUUUUUUUUGUUGUUGGGGAACAGGGAGAGAAAUGAUUUAAAACCCAUUUGACAUAUUUAUGCUGACAAAUUAUUUAAAGGAAUUACUGUGUUGUAAUAAACACGUUUGUAUGUUGGAAUAGGAUUGUGGCUAAAUUUGCUUCUAGCUGUUUAAUUACUUUAUUAUGAUUGUGAAAAACAGUGCUUCUUCAAGUAUUUCCAAGGAAAAAAAUAUAAAAUAUAAAGGUUGAACUAUUUCAGUCUUUUGCAGAUAUCUAACCUUGUCAUGAAAAAGCACUUUUCAUUUUUGUAAGUAGGCAUUGAAAUCUUGCUUCUUCAUUAAAGCUAGAUUGUAUAAUUUGUUAAUUUUCUCCAUCUGGUAACACAUCCGUAAGAAAAAAAAUGCCAAAAGUAAAACAUGAGAUGGAUUUUUAAAUAAAUGUUGUGGAUGGACAGAUACA
Long non-coding RNA from Callithrix jacchus (white-tufted-ear marmoset), 7510 nucleotides. RefSeq lists it as uncharacterized. The record is from RefSeq and is a predicted model, not a curated record. NCBI's taxonomy places the organism in Eukaryota, Metazoa, Chordata, Mammalia, Primates, Cebidae.